This 253-nucleotide ribosomal RNA is filed under the name uncultured bacterium. RNAcentral's name for it is "partial 16S ribosomal RNA". It matches the Rfam family "Bacterial small subunit ribosomal RNA", at positions 524 to 776 of the family's 1533-position model. The record is from RNAcentral.
UACGUAGGUGGCAAGCGUUGUCCGGAUUUAUUGGGUUUAAAGGGUGCGUAGGCGGCGCGGUAAGUCGGAUGUGAAAUCUCGGAGCUUAACUUCGAAACUGCAUUCGAUACUGCCGUGCUUGAGGACUGGAGAGGAGACUGGAAUUCACGGUGUAGCAGUGAAAUGCGUAGAUAUCGUGAGGAAGACCAGUGGCGAAGGCGGGUCUCUGGACAGUUCCUGACACUGAGGCACGAAGGCCAGGGGAGCAAACGGG